GACGAGCGCUGGCGGCGUGCUUAACACAUGCAAGUCGAACGGAAAGGCCUGCUUUCCCUUGUGGAUUGCGGGUACUCGAGUGGCGAACGGGUGAGUAACACGUGAGUGAUCUGCCCCCAACUUGGGUAUAAGCCUGGGAAACUGGGUCUAAUUCCCGAUAGGACUGCAGGGUGGUGCCUGUGGUGGAACACGAUUUUCUAGUGGUUGGGGAUGAGCUCGCGGCCUAUCAGCUUGUUGGUGGGGUAAUGGCCUACCAAGGCGGCGACGGGUAGCCGGCCUGGGAGGGUGGACGGCCACAUUGGGACUGAGAUACGGCCCAGACCCCUACGGGAGGCAGCAGUGGGGAAUAUUGCACAAUGGGCGGAAGCCUGAUGCAGCGACGCCGCGUGGGGGAUGACGGCCUUCGGGUUGUAAACUCCUUUCGACCGCGAGGAAGCCACCUGGUUGGAAGGGUGGUGACGGUAGUGGUAGAAGAAGCACCGGCUAACUACGUG
Molecule: ribosomal RNA, 494 nt
Filed under: uncultured bacterium
Lineage: Bacteria
Description: partial 16S ribosomal RNA
Rfam family: Bacterial small subunit ribosomal RNA
Source: RNAcentral